RNAcentral lists this unclassified non-coding RNA (241 nucleotides) under Hevea brasiliensis (rubber tree). The record is from RNAcentral. Lineage: Eukaryota; Viridiplantae; Streptophyta; Magnoliopsida; Malpighiales; Euphorbiaceae.
GGAGGUAUUUUAAUACUCUCAAGACUCUGUGCUUAAAGUUAGAAUGAAAUUAGACUGAAAAAAGAAUUGCUAGAAUGAAAUUGUAUUGUUGGGUUAGCUGAAAGGUUUUGAAGUAACUUUUGUAUUAAGGAUGGCGGUACUUACAGGUAGAAUUGGACGAUCAGUACACAUUGUAGUUCUGCAUCCUGAUGCCAAGGAGCAAGCAAGAAAAUCAGAGUUUUUCGUUUAGCUGAAAAUUUAU